This 726-nucleotide ribosomal RNA is filed under the name Triticum aestivum (bread wheat). RNAcentral describes it as "partial small subunit ribosomal RNA". Lineage: Eukaryota; Viridiplantae; Streptophyta; Magnoliopsida; Poales; Poaceae. The record is from RNAcentral.
AUGGGGGUGACCAUUGAUCGUUCGUUAGAGGGUACGCGGGGUCCUAACCUUUACAAGAUUUGUGGUCAGGUCCAUCACUGUAUUGGUUCUCUUUUGCCAGAAAAUGAGUCGCCUAAAUUCGCUAAGAUGUAUAUUUAUGACACUGCUAAUGAAGUGGACCAUAGGAUGAAUGCAGUCAAUGUAGAUGGUACUUCCUCAGGACAGUUAGGUCGUUCUAUUGUGGAGGGUUUAAAGGAUAUGCUUGACCAGAACAAUUCUUUGGUUAAGAAGUUUAGGAUGGCUAAAGAGAGGUUAGAGGAGCAUCCAGCUGAGCGUAUAGCUAUUAGGAUCAUUGCGCCUGGUGAAGGUGAUGGUCCACAGUAUAACCUGCCCACGGCUAAUGAGCUGGCGGCCCUGGUUGUUGGUGAUUUUACUUUAGACGCAUCUUCUCGAGAUAUCAUGAUACAUGAUAGGGUUGAAGGGCUGCAGCAAAUUAAUUCUUUGCAUCCAGCCUAUAUGCCAUUGCAGUAUCCGCUGUUGUUCCCGUAUGAUGAGAGAGGUUUCCAAAUUGAUGUUCCAUAUAAAGGAUUGCGGGCCGGGGAAAAAACCAGGGGUAAAGUUACUAUGCAGGACUAUUACUGUUAUGUGUGUCAUUAUCGCACGGAACAACCAAAUCCUUACUUAUGUUAUGGGUCUUUGUCUUCACAAAUUGUUGUUGACUGUCGUGCUUGCAUUGAUGAGCAGUGA